Roseivivax isoporae LMG 25204 is the source of this 109-nucleotide regulatory RNA element. It matches the Rfam family "L2-Alphaproteobacteria ribosomal protein leader". The record is from Rfam. Lineage: Bacteria; Pseudomonadati; Pseudomonadota; Alphaproteobacteria; Rhodobacterales; Roseobacteraceae.
GGGGACCUUCGGGGCCCUACAUCCGAUGGCCGGAUCGCUCCGGCCGACACCAGGCGGACAGGCGGGCCCGAGGGCACGCAGGCCGCCAUCUGAAAACGGAAGACAGGAA